This 64-nucleotide transfer RNA is filed under the name Cyathocotyle prussica. RNAcentral describes it as "tRNA-Pro". Lineage: Eukaryota; Metazoa; Platyhelminthes; Trematoda; Diplostomida; Cyathocotylidae. The record is from RNAcentral.
CAGUUGAUGGUCUAAGAUAGGAUGAUAGUUUUGGGGACUAUAGGUCCCUUAAUGGGUUAACUGA